Molecule: long non-coding RNA, 776 nt
Organism: Medicago truncatula (barrel medic)
Lineage: Eukaryota; Viridiplantae; Streptophyta; Magnoliopsida; Fabales; Fabaceae
Exons: 2
Source: RefSeq, a predicted model, not a curated record
GACCCAUCUUGCUCAUUAGACAUGUUCAGUUUUGUUGACCUAGUAUACCUUGCUAAAUAUAAGAAAUCCACCUCUCACGUUUUAAUAUGCUACCUAUAAUUAUGUUAUGAGUGACCCAUUAAAUAAACUUAGUUUUCAUUCCUUUAUUUUCUGAUUUUGUUCAAGAGUAACCGUCACAUGUUUAUCUAUCUAGUUAUGCCAUGAAUAACACAAUCAGAGAAGAGACUUGAAAUAACUCUCACGGCUACAAACAUCCUGCAGAUAGACAUGUAACAAAUACACCCUAGCAGUCUCCUUUGAUUAUCACUUCUUCAUCGGACUCUCUGCUCAUUAUUGGACCUUCAAAUAUUUCCUAUGUCCAUCAAUUAGUUCCUAUCAUUCCUUCUUUGUCCAACUCGUGUACCAAAGAUUAUAUAUGAAGUUUGAUGUGUGAUGAAAGCGUACGCGGAGACAAAAAUUGGGUUUUUGAUUGAAUUGUAACUCUAGAAGAAAAUUUUGAAGGAUAAUUAAUUUAAGAAUUUUGUAUAAGUUUUUCUAAUAAUUUAUUAUUGAUGAUAAACAAAAAUAGUAGUAUUUUUGAAAAAUGAGAAUGUAUUAAGCGUAAUGUCUUGGACCAAAAUUCGGGGAGUUACAGAUAACCAUUUUUUUUAAUUAUUUUGUUGACAACUUGUAAUUAUUAGUGGUUUUCUUGGUACACCUUAGACUAAGGAGACUACUCAGUGUUAAUAUAUUCUAUUUUUUUGUUUGUUAAAAAAUAUGCGGUUGUGAUUUUUGUA